RNAcentral lists this unclassified non-coding RNA (554 nucleotides) under Daphnia magna. RNAcentral describes it as "uncharacterized LOC123476886, transcript variant X1". Lineage: Eukaryota; Metazoa; Arthropoda; Branchiopoda; Diplostraca; Daphniidae. The record is from RNAcentral.
CAGUGUUUGUUUUUUCCGAACGCUUUUCUCUUAUUAUUAAAUGGAAGUGGAGCUUGGCGUUUGGGGAGAAUUCUAAAAUAUAAGGCUCUGCAACGGAAACGUCGUCCACUCGGUCGAAAGUGGACUAGAGAACAUAACACUGCAGAAAAUCGAGAGAAACAUUCUUGGUACAACACCAUCCUCAAAGAGGCUGCAGUCUCUGACCACUACACCUUAAUUACUGCAACAAGAAUGACUCCUACCAUUUUUGAGGGGCUGCUUCAACGGAUUGCACAAGUUGGGCACAAACAAGACACCACGUUCAGGAAGUGUAUUCCACUGGGUGCGCGCCUGGCCAUGUCUCUUCAUUACUUUGCAACUGGGGACAGCUUGCAGUCCAUCGCUUUCGGAUUCCGGAAAAUGUUCUUCUUACUAAAAGAGAGUUAAAAAUUAGUGAAAAGUUAUAUAUUGAUGAGUUUUAAUUACUAAAAAUACAACACUUACCUUUUGGGCAUAUUAUUAGGACACGAAUUUCUCUUUGUAGCACUUUUAUUAAGCACCUUCCUGGGAGAUUU